UUCGCAAUGCCCGAAAGGGUGACGAAGCGACGCCGCGUGGGUGAGGAAGGCCUUCGGGUUGUAAAGCCCUGUCAGGAGUUAAGAAAUGUAGACUCGCUAAUAUCGGGUCUAUUUGACAAAGGCUCCAAAGGAAGCCACGGCUAACUCUGUGCCAGCAGCCGCGGUAAUACAGAGGCGGCAAGCGUUGUUCGGAAUUAUUGGGCGUAAAGAGCACGUAGGUGGUUUUGUAAGUCAGGUGUGAAAGCCUUCUGUUCAAAGGAAGAACGGCAUCUGAAACUGCAGAUCUUGAGUGUAGGAGGGGAGAGUGGAACUUCUGGUGGAGCGGUGAAAUGCGUAGAUAUCAGAAGGAACGUCGGCGGCGAAAGCGACUCUCUGGCCUAUUACUAACACUGAGUGUGCGAAAGUUAGGGGAGCAAACGGGAUUAGAUACCCCGGUAGUCCUAACUGUAAACGAUGGGCACUAAGUAGAGGGGUUUU
Molecule: ribosomal RNA, 477 nt
Filed under: uncultured anaerobic ammonium-oxidizing bacterium
Lineage: Bacteria
Description: bacterial SSU rRNA
Rfam family: Bacterial small subunit ribosomal RNA
Source: RNAcentral